GUCAAGGAGGAAAAGAAACCUCCAGAACCUUGAUACGUGCGACGAUGGAGAAAAAGAGACCAAGAGAAAGUGAUUUCCAACUUGAAAUCUGGAAAUUCAAAGUGUAAAUCUUGUUAAUGCAAGUUUAUAAUCUGAUUUCUAGCAUCAUCAUCUCUUUUUUUUUGAAUUUAGAAGAUUAGCUAAAAUCCAACAAGGAACGCAAGGUGGAAGCUUUGGGCAAACAAGGUAAGUGAUUUCUGUAAUCACUUCUUAUUUUAUUUAAGUAAAGUAGCGUUAGUUGAUUAAGCAUGAUGAGGUUUGAAGUUUCAUAUGGUUUUGGUCGUAUGAAAUUGGUAAUUUUAACUUAGUAGACCGAAUGGGACAAUAUAAAGUUGUAAUGAUAUGACGAAUAAUGUCUAAGUAAUGGCUACGGUAUGUAACCGGGUAAUGGGUAAAAUUGCACAUAAGUGCACCAACCGAGAAUGGGGACUUAGGUUAAUGGGUCAAAGUGAAGGUAUAUUUUAGCACGGAAUGUUUGUACAAGCAAUGUCGAUAAUAUUUCAUGUGCCCGGUUAGUGUAAGGUGUUAUAACAUUAACAUUAUGUGAGCCUUAAGUGUAAACAUAUGAGUUGUUGAUAAAUGCAUGACGGGUCGAAUAAUUCGUAAUGAAUAAUAAGCCGAAAAUGUAUAAGUUAAGAAUUUCCUUAACCCGGAUGUUGGAUUUUAAGUUCACAUAAUAGAAUGUUAAUUUACAAUCAUGUAGGAAGAAACGGGAGGUUAAUCGGGUAAACGGUUUAAAAGCUAUGCAAGUUUUUGUGCGUGCGAACGACAAAACAACACCGCAGAAAAAUGGCAAAACUAGAGGCCGUCGCCGACGCCCCUAUGGGCCGUCGCCGACGCCUUGUGCAUUUUCAGUUUUCUCCGACGCCUAAUUUUCCUGUCUACGGAGGUUUCUGGCUACGCGAAAAACUAAUAGCCGUCUCCGACGCCCUAUAGGGCCGUCGCCGACGGCCUCCAGAUGUUUUAAAUGCUGAAAUUCGUUAAUUAAGUUAUUUUGUGUAUCGUAAGCUUCGGUAUAUUAACCGUGGUCUACGACGGGCCUCCCAAACAUAAUUUUGAAUGUUUCCUUGAUGUUUUUGGAUCAUAAAUCCAAGUCUAAGCACUCCAUAAUUAAUGUACGAGUAUGAUAAGUGAAUGCGAAUAAGUUAAAUCAAGAAUUGAAUGUAAGUAAGUAAGUGUAGACAUGAUUAUGUAAGCAUUUAGUUAUGUAUAUAGAUAAGUAGAUGUGUAGAUAUGUAGGUGCGUAUGAUUAGACGUAUGAAUAUACGAAUGCACGAAGUAGGAUUUAUCACCUAUGAAAAGAAUGGGACAGGUAUGCAUGUAUACAUGGUUUAAAUACGUUUGAGUAUGGACGUUACUAAUGAUGUGCUUGAGAUUGGAAUGUAAUGCAGGAAUGAGAACGUCAGACUCUUGUAGAAUUGAAGCCGAACCUGGAAGCCAAACUCGAAACAAAGGAAUCCGAGAGGAUAGUCAAAUGAAUUAAAGUUUAUGUUGUUGAAUGUUAUAUGAUUUUUAAUUGCACCAGAUUAUUGUUGUAUGAUGUUGUCAAUGACUAAUGGUUAAGUUGUAUGUGAUGUCCACAGGUACUACACGGAUUUCUUCUACCACUAUCGAAGAUAAGCGGGCAUAGAUCGAGUCGAAUAACAAGGAUUGUACGGAAAGAACGGUUACGUAGUCUUAAUUUUGUAACGCAUUAAUUUGUAAAAAGGGAAGUGAAUUUUGUAAGCUUCUUCUUGAAUGUGUGUAUUAUUUUAAGAUCGUAAAGGAAUUUUUAAAGCUAUUUUUCCGCUGCGUUAUCUUUAAGUUCUUACACGAUGAUCUUACAGGGAAUCGUUCUUAUUACGAACGGGUCAUGCCCGAUUUUUUCUUAAAUAAUAAUAUGGUAAUAUUACUUU
Molecule: long non-coding RNA, 1934 nt
Filed under: Helianthus annuus (common sunflower)
Lineage: Eukaryota; Viridiplantae; Streptophyta; Magnoliopsida; Asterales; Asteraceae
Description: hypothetical non coding rna
Source: RNAcentral